CCUUGUAGGUUAGCAGGAAAGAUCUUACAUUCUUGAAAGUCUAUGCAAUUGACGUGGAUGAAGCAAACAAGCUUGAUGAUGCAUUGAGAGCAAUGAGGCUGCAAGAUGGUAGGAUAAGGAUUUGGGUACAUGUUGCGGAUCCUACAUGUUUGGUUAAACGUCAAGGCAUAGUUGACAGGUUAUUGACGAUUGUUGAAUUUUUUUGACAACGUGAUACUUUUGUAAUUGUUAACUUAUACAGUGUCCCUUUUUUUUUUGUCUGCCGCGGGCGGUGCGUCAGCUGGCUUCUGUUUUUCGUUUUGUUGGUUCCACUACCAGUGUACCACCAAGGAAUCCGUUUCAUUCCUUUGUUAUGUAGUAGUUGAGUCAUCACUAUCUUCUCUUCUUUGCUGUUGGGAGCUAGGGAAGCGAAGUUGAUGUUGUCUGGUUGGUGACGACAAAGGUCCUCUCCCUACCGAUCACAUCCACUUCCGUUUCCCUCCGCUCACAAAUUUUGUUACUUUUGUAUUCUUGUAAUUGUUUCACUCUCCUUUUAAUACAUAUAUUUUUGAA
Molecule: long non-coding RNA, 552 nt
Organism: Asparagus officinalis (garden asparagus)
Lineage: Eukaryota; Viridiplantae; Streptophyta; Magnoliopsida; Asparagales; Asparagaceae
Exons: 3
Source: RefSeq, a predicted model, not a curated record